UCAAACGAGAAAAUGAAGCCUCUAUUUAUAGUAAGGUUUGCCAACUUCUUCAGCCAAUCAAAUUGAUUGGUUUAUGCAACAUGCUUCAGCCUCUUGAUCUUGGCAAGUUGAGAAAUUGCAAAUGAUAUCUGCAAAGUCCAAACUUAGGGCCCCACAAUUAUUUUCUCUCCAUUCAUUUACUCCCUUCUUUAAUAUGAACUUCUUCAACUUGGCAAGCCUACAUUCCAAUUGCUUUUUCAAUUAGUGAGCACGGUACAUUUCCAAAAUGGAGACUUGCAGGUACGAUGAAGACAAACGACGGGAAACCGAGCAGUUUUGGUUGAUUCUGGAGGUGAUCUUAUGUGCACAAGUGAACGAGAGGAGCUUGCGACACUUAGGAGAAUUUCUGGAAGGAUUGAGCACAAAUGUACCAGCCCCGCGUCGCGGAUGCAACACGGAGUGGCAAUCAGAUGUGUCAGCCCCGCAUCGCGGGUCCAUGACGGGAAAACCAAGCUGAAAAAUCUCGAAUUUGCAUGUCACGCCCGCGUCGCGGGCUCAGCCUAAAUAGGGGCUAAAAUCAUUGAAGACCCCGCGUUGGACCCGCGACGCGUGGCCAACGCAGGAAGACCCAAUUUUAUCCGAUUUUAAUUAGGAUUAGGACCCUUUUAUUUGGUUAACAACCCUAAACUAUAAAUAGAUGUUUUGUUCGUUAUUAAUGACGUGCUGGGAUUAUUCCAAGACUUGUAAGCCGUCAUAUUACUUUCUCUUUAGAUUUUAUUUUAUUUUCAUCUUUCCAACCCUAGAUUAUUCAUGAAUUCUUGUUGUUCAUUAAGAAUCAUGAGUAGCUAAACUCCUUAAUUCUAGAGUUGUGGCGAAAGACAUAAUAGUUGGUUUGACGACACUUUCUAUCAAUUAAAUUUCCAUAUUUUGGGUUGCU
Molecule: long non-coding RNA, 916 nt
Organism: Lycium barbarum (goji berry)
Lineage: Eukaryota; Viridiplantae; Streptophyta; Magnoliopsida; Solanales; Solanaceae
Exons: 2
Source: RefSeq, a predicted model, not a curated record